RNAcentral lists this long non-coding RNA (637 nucleotides) under Homo sapiens (human). RNAcentral describes it as "non-protein coding lnc-S100A13-2:4". The record is from RNAcentral. Lineage: Eukaryota; Metazoa; Chordata; Mammalia; Primates; Hominidae.
GCGGCCGCCAGCUCCUGCUCGGUGUCCAAAACAAAAUGGCCGCCACGUCCAGUGCUUGUCUGACCGGCUAAAAUGGCGUCUACGCAAUUACGUCAGGCGUCAGAUCCGCGCACGACUAGAGGGCGGGAAAGAUUUGAGCUACGCCUGCGCAGAGUUGAGAAGCUGAUGUCUCCUCGACUUCCAACUGGAACCUUGAACCCCCACAUUUCUGGACCUUGAGCAUUCCUCAAGUAGGAAGAUGUAAUGCACCUUGACCUCUUUCUAAAUAAGACACUUCCCCAAAUAAGGGGAGUUGAGAGUGAACAGUCUUCACGUCUCCACCCACUUCCAGAUCCCAGAGGAGACAGACAUCGGAUGGCUGAUAAUCUUCCAAUGGAAAUCCAUGGUUCAAGUGCCACCUCUUCAGGAAAGCCAUCUGACUUCAAUCAGGCAGCAGUGGAUGGUGCAGGGGAAAGAGGUGGGAAGGAGGUCCUGGGAGGGACACUGGAUGUCUUACCCCAAGCUGGGCCUUGCAGUACCUGUGGCUGGCUGUGCUGGUUGAGCCCGAAUCGACCACGGAAAUUUGACACCUCCGGGCUUGGAAGCAGCUCUCUCCUCCUUCCCCGCUGCUUAUAAACCUCAGCCCUGAGGCUCCAGC